GUAUAACUUUUCGUCUUUCAUUUUCUUUAAAUUUUAUGUAUAUGUAUUGUAAAGAAUGCUAUGUAAAUAUUGGAACCCUAUGGUUAGAAUCGGAUAUAUCGCGUAGAAGUUUUGGAUUUUCGUCAAAUGAUUUUCAAACUUGACUUAAUAAAAGAUAAACGAUGCAUGUAAUUGGUAAAUGAAUUUUGGGACAAGUGAUUUUUAAAAAAGCUGAAAAGGAUAUAUAUAUAUAUAUAUAUAUAUAUAUAUAUAUAUAUAUAUAUAUAUAUAUAUAUAUAUAUAUAUAUAUAUAUGAAUUUGGCAAUCCCUUUUGAAAACAAAAAAUGGAAAUGAUACUUGAUAUACUAGUUAUAUAUAUAGAUGGCUAUUAAAGGAAAACUGUUUAUGGGCUUAAGACAAAAAUUUGUAAACUGAUUUGGACACGAGAAAUGGAAACUGAUUUUCAUUUACACUAGUUAUAAAUGGAUUUUCAGAACUUUUUGGGACACUUAAGGCUAUUAAAAAUUUUUGGGGCCAAAGUCCAGCCUUAAGCUAAAAAAUAGGAGGGGUACAAUUUUGCCUCAGUUUGAGAUAAAGUUUGAAAGUAGUUUAUGGUUGACCUUUAAAAUUGCACAAAGAUAUAAAGAAGUUGCUAAAAAAACAUACACUUGUAUAAACCUAUGGCAUAUGUAUAAAGUUAAUAUGCUUAAUUUUUCUCAAAAACCUAUAAAAGAUUAAAUUGGACAUAGUACUUGGGACUAAAUUAAGUUGAACUCUACCCAAGGGAAACCUUGAGUGUGUUUUUAGUUCGGAAAGUAAUACGACUGUUUUAAACUUUAUAAUAUUUUCAAGAGAUAAACUUUUUUCCUUCAAAGGAAUGGAUUUUUGCCAAACAAAAGGAAUUAUGAUAUGCCAUGAUAGUUUUAUACAAGAAAGUAAACUCUUUAAGAAAGCAAUUACAAUAAUCACUCAUUGAAACUCGAAGGUCAACCAUAUUCUACGGAUCCUUAAUAUUAGGGUGCUUAAAACAUUUCCUAGGGGAUCACCAGAACCCUUACCUCAAACUCUGGUUUUAAAUGGAUUUUUCUCUUGUUUGAUAAACCCUUUUAAUUAGGGUUUCCUAAUUUUUCUUAAUAGAUUAGGUGGCGACUCUAUAAAACGAAAAUUCAAAUAGAGUCCACAACCUCUUAGUAGCUUUUAUACAUCCGCGUAAAAGUGGACUGUAACAGGUGUCCUUAUAUUCAUAUGCUAACGUAGAUUACUUAUUUGAUAGACUUCGAUCGUUCAGAGGCUCUCCGCAAGAGGAAGGCAUUGGCUUGAUUGCUCGUGACUCCUGCUCAAAUUUUGAGAGUUUGAUCCAGGAUCCAGUUCGCGACCUCGAGACUAAUCCGAGGCUUUAAUCAAGAGAUUUUAGGUUGAGCCACUAGCUGGACAUGCAACCAUGGAUCUCUUCUUCUGAUUAUCUGUCUAUUUCUAAUUCCAUAGAAAGUUUACUAUUUUCGUAUUUGAGACUUGUAUCCAGUAUUUCAGAUGUUGUAUUAAGUAUUAGAACCUCUUGUACGAGUU
Molecule: long non-coding RNA, 1545 nt
Organism: Lycium ferocissimum
Lineage: Eukaryota; Viridiplantae; Streptophyta; Magnoliopsida; Solanales; Solanaceae
Exons: 2
Source: RefSeq, a predicted model, not a curated record